This is a long non-coding RNA of Lepisosteus oculatus (spotted gar), 536 nucleotides long. RefSeq lists it as uncharacterized. The record is from RefSeq and is a predicted model, not a curated record. Lineage: Eukaryota; Metazoa; Chordata; Actinopteri; Semionotiformes; Lepisosteidae.
UUGACUCAACAGCGAGACGCAACCACAAGACACCAAUAGAAACUAAGGGAAACUGCGUGCAAAACAGGAGGUUCUUUCUUUUUUUUACACAAAGGUUUGUGGUCGUUUUGAACAAACUACCCAGCCAGGUUGAUGAAGCCAGAAGUCUAGCUGCUCUAAAGAGACAGUUGGAUGAAAUUCUCAGAAGAACUGGCUGCCACAAAGCAAAUGAACUAGAAUAGCCAAAUGACUGAAUUUUGUUUGCAACCAUAUUUCCAUAUCCCAAUUGCGGACAAAGCUGAAGGAAACAAGACACUGAUGAAGGCCUUAUCGGGGUUGAGUGCUGCUUCAUCCUAGACUGACGAGGAAAGGACAGGAAGAAGGGAAGAAUACAGGCACUUUAUCCAAUGGGGGGAAAAAAGUUGCCAGAGGUACAAAGACACUCAAGACAAGAAGGGAAGGUAGCAGACAGAUCGAUUGUCAAUGGCAUAGCGGACUCCAGAGAGACAGCUAAAGAAUCAAUGUCCUGGCCCAGCACUUCCAAGUGUUGUCACCAC